RNAcentral lists this small RNA (296 nucleotides) under Phaeomoniella chlamydospora. RNAcentral's name for it is "5' ureB small RNA". It matches the Rfam family "5' ureB small RNA". Lineage: Eukaryota; Fungi; Ascomycota; Eurotiomycetes; Phaeomoniellales; Phaeomoniellaceae. The record is from Rfam by way of RNAcentral.
AUUCGUAGGCUUGUUGUGGACAGAUGAAGUGGAUGUGCGAAUCAAACCCACCGGCAGUGACAAUCAUCCCUUCUCCAGCAAUAACAUCUGUGUUUGAUCCAACGACCAUACUUGGAUCUACCCCUUCCAUAACAUCGGGAUUACCGGCCUUGCCUAUACCGACAAUAACUCCGUAUUUGAUUCCAAUAUCAGCCUUGUAGAUGCCCGACCAAUCCACGAUGAGAGCAUUGACGAUGACAGUAUCCAGUGAUUCAGUAUCGGGUCUGCCAGUUGCUUGGCCCAUACCCUCACGUAAU